UGCAAACCACACAGCAAACCAUUACCACCAGCAGACCAUACAACCCCCACCACCUACCUCUAGUCCUCUACCUGUUACCACCCACCUCCGCCACACACCACCACCAUCCCCGUCAUACCACUGCCAUCAUCUCACCUCCGCCUCCCCUCCCUCAUCAACGAUCUGCUUCUCUCUCAUCUCGUAAAACCCCCAAAUUCCCUGAAACACCAUCACACCUCCAGCCACCCACCGUGAACCGCCACCAAACCAUCGCUGCAACGACCAUCACUCAAACCACCACGCCCAACACCACAACACCAUAGUCCCACGACCACCCACUCGUCACCGGGCCGACCACCACGGCGCUCGUUUUUCCAACAAGAUUUCGACUGUCAUUAAGCUAACCUUAAUGGAUCUUUGUUUCGUCUUUAACUCUCGUAUUUCCAGCGGCCGACAGGAUGGUUUAGAUUUGGGUUUUAAGUUUUAACUAUCGCCAACUUCGAUCCCUGGGUUUCAACUUUCGUCUUCAGGUCUGGCUUUUAACUAUUGGCGUUGUGGAAGAAAUGCAUCACUGUAGAGAAUCCGCCCCUUGGUUGCAGCUGUUUGUUUUUAGAGUAUGGUUGUUGGUGACAAAGAUGAUGGGUCAUGGUUAGGUUUAUUGGUAAUCAGAGAUGAGGAUUGGGGAUGACAAAGAUGAAUCAUAGGUUGGAUUUAAUGGUAAUAAUGGGUCUCAAUUUGUAAUAUAAUAUGUUUUAAUAAUAGAAUUUACAUAAGAAGUCCCUAAGUAUAGU
This 770-nucleotide long non-coding RNA is filed under the name Helianthus annuus (common sunflower). RNAcentral's name for it is "hypothetical non coding rna". The record is from RNAcentral. Lineage: Eukaryota; Viridiplantae; Streptophyta; Magnoliopsida; Asterales; Asteraceae.